AACAGCAAAUGAUGUCUCAAAGUCAAUCACAACCAGGACAGUUACAGCCACCUUUGGGUUUGCAGCAACAGGCGAAUCAAUUGCAAAGGGAGAUGCAACAGAGGCUUCAACCAUCAGCCCCCUUGCUUCAACAGCAAAAUGUAAUGGAACAGCAGAAGCAGCUAUAUCAAUCACAAAGAGUCGCACCUGAAGCCUCUUCAACAUCUUUAGAUUCUACAGCUCAGACGGGAAAUGCAAAUGCAGCUGAUUGGCAGGAGGAGGUUUACCAAAAGAUAAAGUCUAUGAAGGAGUCGUACUUAGCAGAGCUCAAUGAUCUAUACCACAAAAUUGCUUCUAAAGUGCAACAGCAUGAUUCUCUUCCUCAGCGUCCUCAAAAUGAGCAAAUUGAAAAGCUCAAGAUGUUCAAGAUCACGCUGGAACGCAUUGUGCUUUUCUUGCGGCUUAACAAGCAGGAUAUUCAACUUUCUCACAAGGAAAAGUUGGCUUCGGUUGAGAAGCACAUAAGUUUCUUUCUUAGUUCCAAUAGGCCGCGCAGCAAGCCUUCUUCUUCUCCACUGCAGGGACAGCUUCCUCAGUCUUCCAUGCAGCUUCAGCAACCACCAUCUCUUGAUGGUCAAUCUAAUCCGUCAAUGCAACCCUCACAGGGUUCCAUGGCAGCAAUGCCUCAGAAUAAUCUCACCAACUUGCAACAUAAUACCUUGUCUGGUGUACCGACAAUUUCCAACUCCCAGCAGCACAUGAUAAAUACAGUACAGCCUGGUUCCACUGUGGAUUUGGGACAGGGUAAUUCAUUGAACUCACUGCAGCAGGUGGCUACUGGCUCUUUACAACAGAAUCCUGUUAACAGUCCUCAACAAGUUAACAUGAGCUCAUUAAGCUCACAAAGUGGAACAAACCCCGUACAGGCAAACCUCGGUUCCCUACAGCAAAAUUCAAACGCCCUGCAACAGUCACUUCCUAAGCAGCACGAGCAGCAAAUGUUGCAGAACCAGCAAUUAAGACAGCAAUACCACCAUAGGCAUAUGCAGCAGCAACUUUUUCAAAGACAGCA
Molecule: unclassified non-coding RNA, 1051 nt
Filed under: Hevea brasiliensis (rubber tree)
Lineage: Eukaryota; Viridiplantae; Streptophyta; Magnoliopsida; Malpighiales; Euphorbiaceae
Source: RNAcentral